UAAAUUGCUGCACCAGUCCACACUUGACCGGUGGGGAUCUCAUUCUAUUAUGACUGUAACUGUUAGCUGCUCCUGGCAUUCUCUAAUCCCUGCUCUCCUCUCUCUGUCCCCCCCCACACACAUCCCUUGUGGUGUGGGGGGUUUGAGUUGUCAGCACCUGCCUGGUCGUCGGUCAGCCAACGCUGGACCUGGUCGCGAGUCUCCCGGUCCUGUCCUACAUCUAUAAAGUUGAAUAAUGGAUUUUGGUGUUUUAAAAACCCAUCGACACUGUAUGACUAUGUUUAGCCUGUGUUCUGCUCCUCUCUCCCACCAACCGUCUCUGGAGGAGGGGAUCCCUCUCUGAAUUGCUCCUCCCAAGUUCUUCUCCGAGCUGGAUAUCCACUCUGAAAACCUGAUGAAGGCAUAUGCCAAGAAAGGUGGAGUUCAAGGGAGAAAAAUCAAGACCAUCAAGGCACCCAUAACCCAGGUCUCUGUGUGUACUUGAAUGAAGAUCCGGAGAAGCUGGUGAAGGAAUACCUGGACGUCAAUGAAAGCACUGUGGCUAAGGCAGAGACUGUCUUCGGAAUCGUCGUAAUUCGACGAGAAGGUGCAGAGCCCAGCGAUGACCCAGAGGAUGUUGGGAUUGUCCUGGAAGGGGUGGAAG
Long non-coding RNA from Osmerus eperlanus (European smelt), 643 nucleotides. RefSeq lists it as uncharacterized. Lineage: Eukaryota; Metazoa; Chordata; Actinopteri; Osmeriformes; Osmeridae. The record is from RefSeq and is a predicted model, not a curated record. The transcript is spliced from 4 exons.